AAUGGUCAGUGAUGAUUCCGUUUUUGAUCGGACAUGGUUCAAAGUGUUUUACACCAUAAUAUUCGAGUGAAUCUUCUUAACCUCAACGUUUUAACAAUGUUUUGAUCGGUUUUGGGUGAUUUUUGGUGAGUUAUCGGUACCUAGGGUUUUCGGUGGUUUUGACUUGCUGAUUUACCGUCUUCCGGUGGUCCGAUUCUCAUCUCGUGGAUGUUUUGGGUAACUUUCCGACAUCGUUUCUCAUAUUUCCGGUGACUGAAUCGACGUCUGAACC
RNAcentral lists this long non-coding RNA (271 nucleotides) under Nicotiana benthamiana. RNAcentral describes it as "long non-coding RNA (NBEN_LNC001539)". Lineage: Eukaryota; Viridiplantae; Streptophyta; Magnoliopsida; Solanales; Solanaceae. The record is from RNAcentral.